GAGCCGGACAAACAGGAAACUUUCUCUCUAAUGAGAGAUAACGACGGUUGAACGACAGCAGAGGAAAGAUUUUUCAGCAACGACGUCUUUCUAGAGAAACGAGCUUACAAGAAAAUAAGCAACAAACCAAUGAAGCAGAAAAUAAAUCACAGUGCAGUAAAAAAUGAUGCAACUGUACACGUGUUAGUCGAUUCAGAAGUCUGUAGUUUACUUUUUCUUUGUUCAAAUGAUCUAACAGGAGAUCCAGGUCACGGGUCCAUUGUAUUUUCUGAACAGCAGAACAGUUUAUAGAGAGCCAAUACAAUGACACUCGGGCAGGAGAGUGUGAGGCCUGAAACCCUGCACACAGAGUCAAAAUGUAUUUAGUGAACAAACUGAACAAACUGGUUCUUCUGUUUUUCACCUGAACGCAUCAUAAAAAAGGGAUUAACACAAAUGAAUUGUUGGUUCAUGUAAUUUAAAAUAUUCUUUGUGGUUUAAUCUGACUGCACCUGGUUGUUCACAUGCGUGCCUGCCUGAUGGCAUCCUGCCAUGAGGAAAUAAAACUCCUCUGACUAUUUUUAGACGCCAGAGGACAAAGUUCAGCUGAUUACAAACCCAAAGGCGAAAACACCUGAAUGCACCAGAUAUUUUUAUCAGCAGUGUGUGCUCUCUGUGGAUCGGUCGACGUGCAGCUGCUCUUAACUGGAAUUUCUGAAUCCUCAACUGCAAAGAAAAAGACUUGUUUUUGAAACAUCUGCAUUGAUUAAUAAUCUGUAUUUGGAGGCGAAAGGAAAGAGGUGAUUUGUUGGAGUGAGGCUCAACAUGAGGCUCUUUGACGAGCAGACGCCAGCAGAGCCACGAUUCAGCCAUCACCACCUGCCCGAACAACAUGACAAACAGCUCAGCAGUGUGGAGUUUCCAGCAGUCAUCUACCUGCUGAUGAAACAGAAACAAUCCUCAGAGCUGAUCGACUUCAGCUUCAGCAUGGAGCCUUCAGUCGCAAAACUUGUGUGCGUGAGGACGAGCAGUAAGGGAUAUCCUCCACCUUUCUAGCCUCUGGCCUGAGCUGUACAGUUAUGAUGCAGUCCAGAGGAAUGACUCCCUGCAGAGUGUGCCGCUCGAUGGGAAACUUCAGAUUCAAAGUGAGCUUCAUUGUUCCAGCCGUGAGAUGAGGAAUCUCUUCUUCACGUUGGACGUCAGCAACUUGCCGUUAGGAGCUCGACUUGUAAAUAAUCUGCCUUCCUGUGACGAAGGUUGUUCCAGGUCAGCAGUUUAAUAAUGUGGGGGAGUAAGAAGAGAAGUGAACUCGCUGCAUGAAGACCUACAGAUGGAAAUGAAAAUCCAAGCUGAGCUUUCGCAGUUUGAAUAACUUGAAAAACAAGUGAAACAAAUUAGUGCGAUAAAGUCAGGGUUGAUUUUUCCAGAAGAACUCUUGAAUUUUUUCUAACGUACUGUAAUCUUAAGUUUACUAUCUGGAUACUUCUGUAGCUGCUUUGACGUUUGAUUUUUGGGAGCACUGCAGGAUGUUAUUAAUUUAUCUGUUCAUCCGUUGACUGUCUGACAAAAUAUAAUUAGACGACAGAGAUUUUGUUAUUUUGUCUCUUUUUUGGGUUCUUCAUGGUGUUGGUUUGUUAAAAAGUAAGCUAUAAAAUCAUUGUUAUAUUUACAGAUGAUAUUUUUAUACUAAACGUCCAUAUCUACAACAAAAUGAUCACACGUUAAUUUAAAUAUAUUACAGUAACAAGAAACAUUGUUAAAAUUCAUUUUCCAGUGUCAGUCAUCUGAAUCUAAUUUUUCAUUCUUCUUGUUUGAAAACUAGAAUUUUCCGUUUUGAUCUCGCUAAACAUUUUGAAUAUAUAUUGUUAGAUACAGUUUUGUUAGUAUAUUUCUGAACUACAGGAGAAAGAAAGGUGUACAUGGUUUGUUUUCUAAUGCCUAAUCUUUUUCUCAUAUGUGUCAACACACUGUUAGAAACCUGUAUGUUCAUAUUGUUUGUGUUGUGUCUGACUCCGCUGACAGUUCUUUUUAUUUUAAUGUAUGAUAAACAUAAGCAGGUUUCUACAUUCACACACUUCUUUCAUGAUUAUAUGAAUGUGUUAUUGGAGCUGGUCCCAGUGGGAUUGAAACUGUAACUGUGCGUCACAACCUUGUUGUGUUUUUUAUGACACGUUUGAAUGGUUUGUCUUUCAGGGAGUCUGUAUCACAAAGUUUCUGCCCGCUGCCGUGAGGCGAUAAAGUUUUUAAAGUCUGAUUUGAAUCAUGCUGACUUUUGUCUAAAACAUGGUGUUGUUCAAUCUGAAGCAAAGCAGAGCUGACACAGAAUUUACAGCAUCAAUAAAAGUUAUUAGCACCAAA
Larimichthys crocea (large yellow croaker) is the source of this 2337-nucleotide long non-coding RNA. RefSeq lists it as uncharacterized. Lineage: Eukaryota; Metazoa; Chordata; Actinopteri; Sciaenidae. The record is from RefSeq and is a predicted model, not a curated record. The transcript is spliced from 5 exons.